AUGAACGCUGGCGGCGUGCCUAAUACAUGCAAGUCGAGCGAACAGACGAGGAGCUUGCUCCUCUGACGUUAGCGGCGGACGGGUGAGUAACACGUGGACAACCUACCUAUAAGACUGGGAUAACUUCGGGAAACCGGAGCUAAUACCGGAUAAUAUAUUGAACCGCAUGGUUCAAUAGUGAAAGACGGUUUUGCUGUCACUUAUAGAUGGAUCCGCGCCGCAUUAGCUAGUUGGUAAGGUAACGGCUUACCAAGGCAACGAUGCGUAGCCGACCUGAGAGGGUGAUCGGCCACACUGGAACUGAGACACGGUCCAGACUCCUACGGGAGGCAGCAGUAGGGAAUCUUCCGCAAUGGGCGAAAGCUUGACGGAGCAACGCCGCGUGAGUGAUGAAGGUCUUCGGAUCGUAAAACUCUGUUAUUAGGGAAGAACAAAUGUGUAAGUAACUAUGCACGUCUUGACGGUACCUAAUCAGAAAGCCACGGCUAACUACGUG
Molecule: ribosomal RNA, 496 nt
Filed under: uncultured bacterium
Lineage: Bacteria
Description: partial 16S ribosomal RNA
Rfam family: Bacterial small subunit ribosomal RNA
Source: RNAcentral